UGGGGAAUAUUGGACAAUGGGCGAAAGCCUGAUCCAGCCAUGCCGCGUGUGUGAAGAAGGUCUUCGGAUUGUAAAGCACUUUAAGUUGGGAGGAAGGGCAUUAACCUAAUACGUUAGUGUUUUGACGUUACCGACAGAAUAAGCACCGGCUAACUCUGUGCCAGCAGCCGCGGUAAUACAGAGGGUGCAAGCGUUAAUCGGAAUUACCGGGCGUAAAGCGCGCGUAGGUGGUUUGUUAAGUUGGAUGUGAAAUCCCCGGGCUCAACCUGGGAACUGCAUUCAAAACUGACUGACUAGAGUAUGGUAGAGGGUGGUGGAAUUUCCUGUGUAGCGGUGAAAUGCGUAGAUAUAGGAAGGAACACCAGUGGCGAAGGCGACCACCUGGACUAAUACUGACACUGAGGUGCGAAAGCGUGGGGAGCAAACA
This 427-nucleotide ribosomal RNA is filed under the name uncultured bacterium. RNAcentral describes it as "partial 16S ribosomal RNA". It matches the Rfam family "Bacterial small subunit ribosomal RNA", at positions 355 to 774 of the family's 1533-position model. The record is from RNAcentral.